AACGAACGCUGGCGGCAUGCCUAACACAUGCAAGUCGAACGAGACCUUCGGGUCUAGUUGCGCACGGGUGCGUAAUGCGAUGGAACCUGCCCUUAGGUUCGGAAUAACCCCCCGUAAGGGGUGCUAAUCCCGGAUAAAGUAUUCGGACCAAAGAUUUAUUGCCUUUGGAUGGGCCCGCGUUGGAUUAGCUAGUUGGUAGGGUAAAAGCCUACCAAGGCGACGAUCCAUAGCUGGUCUGAGAGGAUGAUCAGCCACACUGGGACUGAGACACGGCCCAGACUCCUACGGGAGGCAGCAGUGGGGAAUAUUGGACAAUGGGCGAAAGCCUGAUCCAGCAAUGCCGCGUGAGUGAUGAAGUCCUUAGGGUUGUAAAGCUCUUUUACCCGGGAUGAUAAUGACAGUACCGGGAGAAUAAGCUCCGGCUAACUCCGUG
RNAcentral lists this ribosomal RNA (433 nucleotides) under uncultured bacterium. RNAcentral's name for it is "partial 16S ribosomal RNA". It matches the Rfam family "Bacterial small subunit ribosomal RNA", at positions 29 to 507 of the family's 1533-position model. The record is from RNAcentral.